Molecule: long non-coding RNA, 675 nt
Filed under: Elaeis guineensis (African oil palm)
Lineage: Eukaryota; Viridiplantae; Streptophyta; Magnoliopsida; Arecales; Arecaceae
Description: long non-coding RNA (EGUI_LNC074843)
Source: RNAcentral
AGCCAUUCAAAUUCAAAGCAUGUUUGAAUUUGAAUAGAUAACUUAUCACUUGCCCUUUCAUCCUUAUCCAUUUUGUGCACCACAUUACUUACACGAGAAAAGGUUUCUCGUGAAACAUUUUCCACGCACAAAGAGCCACGCCCCUUCUCUUCUCACACCCAAAAGGAUAGGGAUAAGUUGGUUUUCGUUUGAAUUCAAAUUUGAUUUGAAUUCAAAUGUGUAACCUCUUGUCUUUAUCCUCUCACGCGGAUAAGACACGUUCAACGUUGUUUUAAAAAGAGAAGAAAGGUGGGACGUGCAUAGAAAUUUUAGGAGAGAAACUUUGGGGUGUGAGGAAGGCUUCUGCAUAAGGUGAAGGUUCAAAACCUUCCGAGAGAAAAAGAAAGAAAAGAGAGAAAAUUAGGCGCAGGGUUUUUGGUGUGUACCCUAGGGUUUCUACCUAGGGUUCGGGAAGUGAGAUUGGUGUGCCACGAGUGUCGUGAGUCCACCAAAUUUUAGGAAGAGAUCCAUCAGCCUCUCAAGCAACUGUGCAGAUGAUCCGGAGCAUCCGAGAAGUCAGCACACAUCGAUCGAAGGAGUUCGAUCAACAUCUGCCAUCAAAAGGGUGAAAUCACGAACUAGCAUUCGUGAGGAGCUGAUCAGACGGAAGCUUCGUGUGGACGAUCCGCAGAGGCC